Molecule: long non-coding RNA, 2309 nt
Filed under: Betula platyphylla (Asian white birch)
Lineage: Eukaryota; Viridiplantae; Streptophyta; Magnoliopsida; Fagales; Betulaceae
Source: RNAcentral
AAGUAGUUUUCCAACGCUAAUCCCUCAACCUGCAACAAAAGUAACAUCUAUGUCAUAGAGAUCAUCCAUGAUUACAUAGGAGAAGAAAAGAAGAAAGGGUGAGUCAACAGUUCAUAAAGAAUGAAGACUCCCCCGAGGGUUUUCGCAAUGAGCCAAACUUUUAUUUAUGUAAUCGCUUUUAAAAUGUGAUUAAAAAAAAAACUUAAAAACACAAACAAUAUGAAACAGAUAAACAUGAUUGACUAAAGAUAUAAAUAGGUACUUUUGAGUUUUGAGCAUUUACGAGAAAAUUCAAUUAUAAACUAAACUUGAUUUUCAAAUUUGGGAAAUUAAUACUACGCAUAAAUAAAAGAAUACAAAUACAAAGACAAACUUAAAAGAGAGAUCAACAAAGACUUAAAGUCUAAAAAGAGUUUAAAUUUACAUAACUUACUGGCUUUGACGAGUCGAGUCAGGUACUUGAGCGGCUCAACUCGGCUCGAGCUCGAGCUAGAGUAUACAAUUUCUAAAAGCCCUAAUCGAGUCCAAGCUUGGUAAAAAGGCUUUUCGAGCCUUAAAUGGGCAGCUCGGCUCAUUUAGUUCUUUAAAAUACAACACAAAUUACAACAUUAUCAAUUAAUGUAAUCUGGCCAUCUAGGUUGCCACUUGCCACCCACACUAGGCAUCAAUGCAAAUCUACAAAGACUGACUAGAGUCAGUAAACCACCAGCUAGCAUAACCAAUCAUACUCCUGAAUGACUUCUAAACUCGCACCGGAAACAAUAUCAGCCAAAUUCCAUAAAAAUAUUAUUCUUUCAUUUAUUACACUCAGUGUGGCUGAUGAAGUAAACACAAUUCAUAAAGCAAUUUAAAUCAUUAUAUAACUGUGAUGUAUGCAUAUGCUCCAAAAAUGUUUGGAUACAUAUACAUAUGAACCAUCUAAUGCACAUCUUGUACCAAUAAAAUUCAUAAAACAUCAUAUGCAAUCCAGCUGUAAACGUAUACGUAAGUUCUUCCCCUUUGAGAAUCUUAUGCAUACCCAUACAUCUAGCAUGACAUACCUCUUAAACCAAUACAUACUUUGACAUUCAUCAUCUCAUUCUUCAUAUACAUACAAAUACAUCUAGCAUGAAUAAAACAUAAUACAUAUACACAUCAUUAAAACAUAACCGUGCAAUACAUACUUUGACAUUCAUCAUCUCAUUCUUCAUAUACAUACAAAUACAUCUAGCAUGCAAUCUCAUAAAACAUAAUACAUAUACAUAUCAUUAAAACGUAACCGUGCAAUACAUACAUAACUUCGAGGACUUGUCCUCCAUUCAUACAUUUACAUCUUUUCAUCUUUUCAGCACCGAGGGCUUGCCCUCCGAGAAUUGUCUCGAACUGAUGCUGGGACUUUCCCACUCACAUCUUUUCAGCACCGAGGGCUUGCCCUCCAGAAUUGUCUUGUGAUGCUGGGGACUUGUCCCACUCAUUUAAUCUAUUCAUUCAUUUACAUAUAAAUCAUCAAUAGUGGGCCCAGCCCUGUCAUUUGAUAAUAGUGAGCCCAGCUCUGUCAUUUGAUAAUAGUGAGCCCAGCUCUGUUCAUCUCAUUUCAAUGUACUUACAAAUUCUUCUUCUUCUCAAUUUUCUGCAUCUCUCUCUCUCACGGCAUCAUCUCUCUCUCUCUCUCUCGGUCUAGGACAGCAUGAAACAGGGAGAAGCUCAACAAUCAUGUUUCAACAACAGCAUUUAAAUCAAUCUUCCUUCAUCAUAAUCUCAAAUCUCAAAGCAACAAAGUAAUCAAUACAUCAUAGCAUUUCUUUCAUAUCUUAAAACUUUCACAAUCAAGCAUGCUCAAACAACAUAUGAAUGGCUCGAUUUUUCAUAACUUUAAAGAAACUUUAAAGACAUUAAAAUUCUGCUCUUUCUCAACUUGUUUAGCAUCUUUAAAAUAUUUUAAUCUAUUCAUACAAUUACAUCUUACAACCACAAUAUCAAUCAUAUCUCAUCAAAUAUCUCAUAAAACAUUGAAAGUAUCAAGUAGUAAUAUUCAUCUUUUCAGCACCGAGGGCUUGCCCUCCGAGAAUUGUCUCGAAUUGAUGCUGGGGACUUGUCCCACUCAUUUAAUCUUUUCAUACAAUUACAUCUUUUCUAAAAUCAUUGAUAAAAUUCUUUGAAAACAUAAAACGUAUUCGUCCUCAGUGAGUAAAAGAUUACUCACCUUAAGAGACCAUGAGGGAUUCACAACUAAGCUCAAGCUUGCUUACUCUCGCAAAUGCUUCCACGAUCCAAUUACCUUGUACUACAUUGGAGUACUAGCUUUAGUCUCCAAUCUCAUGUAACAUACC